GAUGAACGCUAGCGACAGGCUUAACACAUGCAAGUCGAGGGGCAGCAUAAAAGUAGCAAUACUUUGGUGGCGACCGGCGCACGGGUGAGUAACGCGUAUGCAACCUACCUAUCAGAGGGGGAUAACCCGGCGAAAGUCGGACUAAUACCGCAUAAAACAGGGGCACCGCAUGGUGCUAUUUGUUAAAAAUUUAUUGCUGAUAGAUGGGCAUGCGUUCCAUUAGGUAGUUGGAGAGGUAACGGCUCACCAAGCCCACGAUGGAUAGGGGGAACUGAGAGGUUGGUCCCCCANACUGGUACUGAGACACGGACCAGACUCCUACGGGAGCAGCAGUGAGGAAUAUUGGUCAAUGGGCGAGAGCCUGAACCAGCCAAGUCGCGUGAAGGAAGAAGGAUCUAUGGUUCGUAAACUUCUUUUGCAGGGGAAUAAAGUGCAGGACGUGUCCUGUUUUGUAUGUACCCUGAGAAUAAGGAUCGGCUAACUCCGUGCCAGCAGCCGCGGUAAA
RNAcentral lists this ribosomal RNA (505 nucleotides) under uncultured bacterium. Its description in RNAcentral is "bacterial SSU rRNA". It matches the Rfam family "Bacterial small subunit ribosomal RNA", at positions 28 to 524 of the family's 1533-position model. The record is from RNAcentral.